RNAcentral lists this unclassified non-coding RNA (142 nucleotides) under uncultured Helotiales. Its description in RNAcentral is "sequence contains ITS2". Lineage: Eukaryota; Fungi; Ascomycota; Leotiomycetes; Helotiales. The record is from RNAcentral.
UGACCACUCAAGCCUAGCUUGGUAUUGGGGUUCGCGGCUCCGCGGCCCCUAAAAUCAGUGGCGGUGCCGCCUGGCUCUAAGCGCAGUAAUUCUCUCGCUACAGUGUCCGGGUGGUUGCUUGCCAGAAUCUCCCAACUCUCAC